CUGCCAGACCACUGCUUCAGACCCACUGUGGGAGGACUUCAGAGCAAAUAAGUUAACAAACACCUAAAGUGUUCUCUGCUUCAGUGUGGUAUUCGUGCCUUCUCAUUUCAUGAUCAUGGUAUCUCCCCUGCCAGACUGAAGAGCCUUUUCUGACAUCCUCAUUUGUUCUGCUGUGUAAUAGCAUGGGAUCUUUCAGAGCUGUUGACAUCUGCUCCACUCUAGAGAGCUGCAGAACCGAGCCAGCAAAGCAAUAAUAAUUAUGCCCGAAUGGACUGCAAAGGAUGUAAGAGAUAAGAAGGAACACAAGAAAGAAAAUACAUUCGAUGCCAUGUUGUUCCAGCCUGGAUCAUCAUCUGGCAGGUCUGAGCCUGGUCUUACUAACUGGAAACUGGAGAAGUACGUUCAGAAAUGAACAAGAUGUCCCCGAGGCAACCAGAAUGCCAUCCAAAGUGGCAGGGCAGUGUUGGCCUCUGUCCUCUGUUCCUGUUCCUCCUUGCUGCUCGAACUCUGGCUCCCGCUGGCAUUUCUCUUUCUGCCACAGAGCUCUCCGGCCUCCAGGGACGUGGAUCCAACCCCAGUUCCCGCCUCCACUCGACCCAGGGGUUGGAUCUGAUGUGGUCAGGGGUCAUCUCAACCCACUGCCAGUGAUUGGUUCAGAAAUGGGUGUGUAAUCAUUUUGGCCGAUGAACAAAAGGAGAGAUUUUUCAGAGACUGCCUUGGGAAGAGUUUCUCUGAACAUCACCAUUCCUGGAUGGGAGGUCCCUCUGCGACAGAUGUCUUGCUGCCAGGUUGAGGAUGAAGGUGCAAGCACAAGUGGGCAGAGCAAAGAGAAGAGUGGGAGAAAGGGGCAGGAGCCACAGGACCCCACCCACCCCAAAGCCUCAAACCUCUAGACUUUGGUUUUGGGGGCUGUACUUUAUUUUAGCUUAUAAGCCAGUUUGAGUUUUCUAUUGCUUGCAAUAAAGAAAUCUUAAUACAAGUUGUCAAAAACUAAAAACUUCUAAGUACUAAUGAGAAAAACAAAGCAUGUGGCCUAUGUAAAGAAAGAAUGUAAUAUUGACCAAUGGAUAAAAGGAAGAGAAACUGCAAGGUAAUAGAACUAAGAUAAGAUGGCUUCCUUCCAGUGCAAAGGGUUAAACUAUCAAAUAAUUUAGUGCCAAACCUAAAGCACUGUCCUCACGCAGGAUGGCUUGAAUAUGACCCUCUUGGCCAUCAACCAUGGCUGUACUCAACCUCAGCAUAAGACCUGUUGUAGAGCAUGAAAUAGAUGCAACCUAGCAUACUAUUUAAAGUGGCCCUCAAGGGGCACAUGGGUGGCUCAGUGGUUGAACGUCUCCUUCAGCUUAGGGUGUGAUCCUGGGUCCGGGGAUCGAGUCCCGCAUUGGGCUCCCCCCAGGGAACUUGCUUCUCCCUCUGCCUAUGUCUCUGCCCCUCUUUCUGUGUCUCUCAUGAAUAAGUCAAUAAAGUCUUUUAAAAAAAGGAAAAAAAAAACAUAAAAUGGGCCUCAAGAUGCCUGGGUUGAGAUACCAGAGAUUGUUCUGGAGGCUCUGACAAUAAUAAUACAGUUCCCGAUGGAAGGGCAUGGGCCGGAGGAAAGACAUUUAAAUUCGUGGAAGCGAAGGUCAGUUUUGUGCAUAAGUGAAAAUGGAAGGCUUUAAGGAAAUGGAAAAGUGUUCCCCCCCCAUCUGAAAUACAUCCCCCAAAUCCCUGCUGUUUGCAAUUGUUACCUUAGGAGUGAGGACAGAUAAAGGACCUCAAAUGAAAAUUUCUAUGAGAGCACUAAUAUAUUGUACUAAAAACUUGGCCAUUCGAAAAUCUGUUUCACUGACUCUAGAAAGUAAGCUUUGCAAGGCCAGAGAUAUUUGUCUUGUUCAUCACUUUAUCCCUUCUAACCAAAAGGAUGUUUAAGCCACAAUACAUGCAAAAGAAACAUUUAUGACUAAAUGAAUGACCUAUAUCUGAGUCUCACCAAGGGCAAACCUUUAUAGGAGAGAAGAAAGUCUCCAGAGGCGGAUUUAUCACGCAGCUGGUGAAAGGUAAGCAUUAGUGCCCCUCAGUCUGCUAGGAGGAACCCUACCAGUGCAUUCCCUUGUCACAUGUUUUUGCAAAUUUGUAAAAGUCAGUUAGUUUAGUCUGGACAGAUCAGACUUCUGUCUGUUUCCAUUCCUUUUUUAAGAUUUUAUUUAUUCAUGAGAGACACAGAGAGAGAGGCAGAGACAAAAGAAGAGGGAGAAACAGGCUCCCCACAAGGAACCUGAUGUGGGACUUGAUCCCAGACCCCAGGAUCACAUCCUGAGCCAAAGGCAGAUGCUCAACCGCUGAGCCACCCAGGUGUCCCUGUCUCCAUUCCAACGGCUCUCCUACCGGGUCAUCAGUGUGGGGCAUUUGGUAGUGGGGGGGGGAGGCAGCUGAGGCAAGCGGAUUCAGAAAUACAUUAGUUUUGGUGUAGCGUGAUAUAUUUAUGUGAUUCCCAGUCACUUGUAAAUGUGAUAUUUCUAGCCUUCCUCCAGUGGGAGUGGAUUUCAGGAAAACUGUGGAAACGCAUCUGCUGUCCUAACAACGUAAAGUGGCAGAUCUAAAUGUUGUAUCACAAUAUGAAUAUGUCCUAUGACCUUAGUGGAGGAAAAGGAAUAUUUGAAAUGGAGCCCAGGAACUAGUCUGUGGAAAAUUCUCUCCAAUCAAUUGUAAACAAAGCGGUUUUCAUUGACACUUAGUCAAAAUGAAGUUUUCUCUUCUUGGGAAGGCACAGGAAGAUGUAGGGUAUACUUUUGUGUUUUGGUACCAUAUAAUAAAAUCAUUUUUCAUGUAUUUGCAAAUGAUGGUAGUAGAAAUCAUUCUGACAUCUAGACAUGUGAAUUGUAACAAAAAAAAAAAGAUGAUUCCAAGAGUAGUAAAUCAUUAAGAGGAAGAGAUAAAUUGCUAAUAGAAAUAAUAAAUAGGCUCCUAGAUUAUUUAAUGAUCCAAUUAACGAAGAAGAGUGAGUUCCGAGAACAUUUUUGAAAAAUAUUUAAAUUUCUUUAUGAUUUGACAAGAAUUUCAUAUUGAAAAAGAUAAUGUAACUAAUGAUACAUCACUACAGUGAAGAUAUUGACGACAAAUUUGUUCACAGUGAGCCCCAACUCAAAACAUUUAUGAUUUGGCACCAAACACCAAAACCUGGAAAUGCUCUGAAAUCUUAUAACUCAUAUAUGACAAAAUGUUUCCCCAGAUAGACUAUAAUCCUGAACAUUUCUGUGAUGGUACCAAUAAUGAGAUAAGGAGCUCACAAACUUUUCAAAAUUACCAAUGAAAGACACAUUUGAUCAACCAUGUACAGGAAAGAUUGAUUUAUACUUUCUAGGUAACAAAUAUACAAAAUAUUUGCCAUAUGAAGAGGUAAUCCAUACAGAGUUAAACAAAAAGAAUGAAAAAUCAUACAGGGGUUUUAGAUAGUCAAGUAACAAAUAUAUCAUAGUAGAAUAGUAUAUGUGUAUUGAGGAUGGAAUUCAGGAGCCCUCCUAGACUUUCUAAAGUAGAAGAAAGAAUGAGGGUCACUGCCCUGAGCAAUGGUAUCUAGAGGAAAGAAAACCGACUUUAGACUUCAUGUGUCUUGGGUUGAAAUCCCAGUCCCUCCACUUUAAUAGUUGUGUGACUAUGGGCCUUGAUUUCUACAUUUGCAAAAAUAGGCAGAAUUUUAAGUGCCUUUUAGAGCUUUUGUGAAAAUUAAAUGCUACUACUGAAAUUAAAUGAAGCUAUAAAAAUUAAAUGAAUAGGGCUAUCCUAAAGUCAAUGUGCUCAGUAAAAGGUGUUCUGUAAAUGUUAGCUUCCUUCUGAAAUACAUAGAGCAGGAUGUCAACUUAUGCAAAGGAUGUAAAUUUGUUCUGGUCAUAAAUGUCAAUGCAUUUUCUGACAAUACUGGUGAAUUUGUACAGACUAUAUGGAUUAUGUUUCACCUUUUUGCCUUAUCCUGAAGCUAAUACCGAAUAGGGCAAUGACAUGUAUGGACAAUUUAUGAAGAAAGAAAUAAGAAUAUCUGGUAAUAUAGCAAGAAUUGUUUGACAUACCUGGUCGUCAAACAUGGUGUAAACAAUCAAAUACCAUUUAAUCACUCAGAUUGACAAAGAGUAAGAAGAAUGAAAAAGACUGCCCCCAGAUGGUAAGGGUGUGAGGGAGAAGCGUUCUCAAACCACUGGCUGCCUGGAGUUCAAAUUGGGACAACUGUUUGGAGGCCAAUUUAAAAAUACAGUUGAGGGCGUCUGGGUGGCUCAGUCAGUUAAGCAUCUCAGGACAUGAUCCCAGGGUCCUCUGCCUGCAGCUCCCCCUGCUUGUGCUCUGUCAAAUAAAUCAAAUAUUUUAAAAAAUAAAUAAAAAAUAAAAAUAUAGUUGACCCUAGAAUGAUGUGGGGCUUAGGGGCUCCAAGGCCCCACUUCCCGCACAGGUGAAAAUUGUGUAUGACUUUUGACUGCCCAAAAACCUAAUUUCUGGUAGCCUACUCUUGACCAGAAGCCUCACAAAGAACCUGUGGAGUGGAUUCGUGCAUCUUUCAUAUGUUAUGUAUCAUAUAUUGUAUUCUUACAAUAAAAUGAGCUAGAGAAAAGAAAUUUUGUUAAAAUUGUAAGGAAAAUACAUUCAUAGUGCUAUACUGCAAAAAAUCUGUGUAAGUGGGCCCAUGCCGUUCAAGCCUGUGUUGUUCGAGGGUCAAGUGUAGACCAAAACAGCAACAAACAAAACCCUUUAAAAAAUGUUUACCCUGGGGCAGCCCAGGUGGCUCAGCGGUUUAGCGCCACCUCCAGUCCAGGGUGUGAUCCCAGAGAGCCAGGAUUGAGUCCCGGGUCAGGCUCCCUGCAUGGAGCCUGCUUCUCCCUCUGCCUGUGUCUCUGUCUCUGUCUCUCUCUCUCUCUCCCUGUGUGUGUGUGUCUCUCAUGAAUAAAUAAAAUCUUUUUUAAAAAAAUGUUUACCCUGCAUUUAAAGCUAAACAUGCCUACCCCAUGACCUACUCAUUCCACUUCUAGUUUGCUUCAAAAUAAUAUGUACAUAUGUCCUUCAAAUGGUCUGUACUGAAAUGUUCAUGGCAACUUUAUUCCUAAUGAUCUAAGUGUCUCUCAACAGUAAAAUGAAUCAAAGUGUAGUAUAGUCAAAAAAUAAAAUACUGUGCAGCAAUAUAAAGGGUGAAUCACUGUUACCACGACAGCAUGGAUGAGUAUCACAGACAUCAUGCUGACUCAAAGAAGCCAGAAACAAAAGAAGUAUGCACCCUGGAUCGUUCCAUUUAUAUGAAGAUCAAG
This 5264-nucleotide long non-coding RNA is filed under the name Canis lupus familiaris (dog). RNAcentral describes it as "lncRNA (ENSCAFG00845028158.1)". Lineage: Eukaryota; Metazoa; Chordata; Mammalia; Carnivora; Canidae. The record is from RNAcentral.